Molecule: ribosomal RNA, 574 nt
Filed under: uncultured bacterium
Lineage: Bacteria
Description: bacterial SSU rRNA
Rfam family: Bacterial small subunit ribosomal RNA
Source: RNAcentral
CCUACGGGAGGCAGCAGUGGGGAAUAUUGCACAAUGGGCGAAAGCCUGAUGCAGCGACGCCGCGUGAGGGAUGACGGCCUUCGGGUUGUGAACCUCUUUCAGCAGGGACGAAGCGCAAGUGACGGUACCUGCAGAAGAAGCACCGGCUAACUACGUGCCAGCAGCCGCGGUAAUACGUAGGGUGCAAGCGUUGUCCGGAAUUACUGGGCGUAAAGAGUUCGUAGGCGGUUUGUCGCGUCGUUUGUGAAAACCAGCAGCUCAACUGCUGGCUUGCAGGCGAUACGGGCAGACUUGAGUACUGCAGGGGAGGCUGGAAUUCCUGGUGUAGCGGUGAAAUGCGCAGAUAUCAGGAGGAACACCGGUGGCGAAGGCGGGUCUCUGGGCAGUAACUGACGCUUAGGAACGAAAGCGUGGGUAGCGAACAGGAUUAGAUACCCUGGUAGUCCACGCCGUAAACGGUGGGCGCUAGGUGUUGGGUUCCUUCCACGGAAUCCGUUGCCGUAGCUAAACGCAUUAAGCCGCCCCCCCUGGGGAAGUACGGCCGCAANGCUAAAACUCAAAGGAAUUGACGGGG